This 37-nucleotide small RNA is filed under the name Segatella baroniae B14. Its description in RNAcentral is "Prevotella bryantii B14 abiF RNA". It matches the Rfam family "abiF RNA". Lineage: Bacteria; Pseudomonadati; Bacteroidota; Bacteroidia; Bacteroidales; Prevotellaceae. The record is from Rfam by way of RNAcentral.
CCCGCCACGCCUCUUAACAAUGCGUACCACGGCGGGA